GCAGUCGCUUAGUGAUGUGGACAGGAGUCG
RNAcentral lists this non-coding RNA (30 nucleotides) under Cricetulus griseus (Chinese hamster). Lineage: Eukaryota; Metazoa; Chordata; Mammalia; Rodentia; Cricetidae. The record is from RNAcentral.